RNAcentral lists this non-coding RNA (104 nucleotides) under Peribacillus simplex. RNAcentral's name for it is "SAM riboswitch aptamer (S box leader)". It matches the Rfam family "SAM riboswitch aptamer (S box leader)". Rfam says of the family: The SAM riboswitch is found upstream of a number of genes which code for proteins involved in methionine or cysteine biosynthesis in Gram-positive bacteria. The SAM riboswitch acts at the level of transcription termination control. Lineage: Bacteria; Bacillati; Bacillota; Bacilli; Caryophanales; Bacillaceae. The record is from RNAcentral.
UCUUAUCAAGAGUGGCGGAGGGACUGGCCCGACGAAGCCCGGCAACCGGUAUAAAUUUAUAUACGGUGCUAAUUCCAGCAGAGUGUUGGCUCUGGUAGAUGAGG